RNAcentral lists this ribosomal RNA (315 nucleotides) under uncultured eukaryote. RNAcentral's name for it is "partial 18S ribosomal RNA". It matches the Rfam family "Eukaryotic small subunit ribosomal RNA", at positions 1469 to 1796 of the family's 1831-position model. The record is from RNAcentral.
ACCCUUAGAUGUCCUGGGCCGCACGCGCGCUACAAUGACACAUGCAACAAGUUCUAUCCUGGCUCGGAAGAGUUUCGGGUAAUCUUUAUAAUGUGUGUCGUGCUGGGGAUCGAUCUUUGUAAUUAUGGAUCUUGAACGAGGAAUUCCUAGUAAGCAUAAGUCAUCAGCUUGUGCUGAUUACGUCCCUGCCCUUUGUACACACCGCCCGUCGCUCCUACCGAUUUUGAGUGGUCCGGUGAACCUUCUGGAUUGUGCGGCUUGCCGCGCGAGAAGUUAUGUAAACCUUAUCACUUAGAGGAAGGAGAAGUCGUAACA